Molecule: ribosomal RNA, 137 nt
Filed under: uncultured bacterium
Lineage: Bacteria
Description: partial 16S ribosomal RNA
Rfam family: Bacterial small subunit ribosomal RNA
Source: RNAcentral
UGGGGAAUAUUGGACAAUGGGCGCAAGCCUGAUCCAGCCAUGCCGCGUGAGUGACGAAGGUCUUCGGAUUGUAAAGCUCUUUUGGCGGGGACGAUAAUGACGGUACCCGCAGAAUAAGCCCCGGCUAACUUCGUGCC